AUUCUUUGUCAUUGUAAUCUUUUACUUCAUUCCAUAUUUCACUUCAUUCAUUCGCCUAAUAUUCGGUUCAGCUUCGGUCAUUUUGUGUUUGACUUUCGUCGUCGCAACUGUUCAACAAUGGCAGACGGUGCUUCAACCAUUGCUGUUUUUGCGGUGGUUAUGGUUCGUCUGGGGGCGAUACAGGCCAUGGUGCCUCAACGUGGCCGUGGACGCGGUCAUGAACGAGGCCGUGGUCGCGGGAAGGCAGAUCAGAAAGAUUGUGAUCUAGAUAUCUGACAAAACCGCCCGGCUCUAAAAGUCAAAAACGAUAAACUCGAGAGCAUUAACUUGUUUUCUCUGCCCGUCAAAGAGUUUGAAUGACGAGGUUUUGAAGUUCGGGCCUGUACAGAAAUAGACGCCUUUGUAGCUAUUGGUGACAACAAUGGUCACAUUGGAUUCAGUUACAGUGCAGAAAAUAAGUUUUUUCUAUCCGUGGAGCUAUUAUUCCGGCGGCUAAACCGUCCGUAUUGCGUAUGCGCAGAUGCUACCAAGUAACAAGAUUGGCAAGCCCCAUACAGUACCUGCAAGGUUACUGGCAAGUGCGGUUCUGUCACCGUGAUGCUUAAUCAUGCACGAGUCCGUAUUGCGUAUGCGCAGAUGCUACCAAGUAACAAGAUUGGCAAGCCCCAUACAGUACCUGCAAGGUUACUGGCAAGUGCGGUUCUGUCACCGUGAUGCUUAAUCAUGCACGAGUCCGUAUUGCGUAUGCGCAGAUGCUACCAAGUAACAAGAUUGGCAAGCCCCAUACAGUACCUGCAAGGUUACUGGCAAGUGCGGUUCUGUCACCGUGAUGCUUAAUCAGGCACAAGUCCGUAUUGCGUAUGCGCAGAUGCUACCAAGUAACAAGAUUGGCAAGCCCCAUACAGUACCUGCAAGGUUACUGGCAAGUGCGGUUCUGUCACCGUGAUGCUUAAUCAUGCACGAGUCCGUAUUGCGUAUGCGCAGAUGCUACCAAGUAACAAGAUUGGCAAGCCCCAUACAGUACCUGCAAGGUUACUGGCAAGUGCGGUUCUGUCACCGUGAUGCUUAAUCAUGCACGAGUCCGUAUUGUGUAUGCGCAGAUGCUACCAAGUAACAAGAUUGGCAAGCCCCAUACAGUACCUGCAAGGUUACUGCAAGUGCGGUUCUGUCACCGUGAUGCUUAAUCAUGCAUGAUUCUACAUGAUUAGCAGCAUUAGCUAGCAGAUAGCUAGUGUCCAGAAUUGCUACACAUCUACCCGUGGUUCCACUGGCAUGCUCGGCAACUCCGCCAAUGCUAUUGCCAAGAUGUGCCUGCCUAACUGCGGACCUGUGGCUUGAUAUCCCUUUGACAUAGAGUAGGGGGACUUACUCUGAGUUCAAGGUUUAAGUCUUUCUGAAUAACUGAAAUAAAACAAUUCUAUUUA
Amyelois transitella is the source of this 1424-nucleotide long non-coding RNA. RefSeq lists it as uncharacterized. The transcript has 8 exons. NCBI's taxonomy places the organism in Eukaryota, Metazoa, Arthropoda, Insecta, Lepidoptera, Pyralidae. The record is from RefSeq and is a predicted model, not a curated record.